CCAGCCAUUCCGUUGGCUGAAGCCGUCACCAUUGGCUCUGUCAGUAAUGGCAUUGUUCAAAAGCUGGUGAUAAAAGUAACCCUACUGGGAGGUUUAAACCGUGAGGUUAAAACCGAAACUGCAAGCUACAAUGCGGUUAGGGUG
Molecule: non-coding RNA, 144 nt
Organism: Lachnospiraceae bacterium
Lineage: Bacteria; Bacillati; Bacillota; Clostridia; Lachnospirales; Lachnospiraceae
Source: Rfam